RNAcentral lists this ribosomal RNA (1699 nucleotides) under Pseudomonocelis ophiocephala. RNAcentral's name for it is "SSU rRNA". It matches the Rfam family "Eukaryotic small subunit ribosomal RNA". The record is from RNAcentral. Lineage: Eukaryota; Metazoa; Platyhelminthes; Proseriata; Monocelididae.
UGCGAAAUGCUCAUUAAAUCAGCUACGGUUCACUGGGUAAACCACAGUUACUUGGAUAACUGUGGUAAUUCUAGAGCUAAUACAUGCAAUUAUGCCCGCGCCUCACGGCAAGGGUGCUCUUAUUAGAUCAAAACCAACCUGGCUUCGGCUAGAAGUUUUGAUGACUCUGGAUAAUUGGGAGAUCGCAGGACUCAAUGUCGGCGACUCACCCUUCAAAAGUCUGCCCUAUCAACUAUAGAUGGUAUAUAACCUGUGUACCAUGGUGUUCACGGGUAACGGGGAAUCAGGGUUCGAUUCCGGAGAGGGAGCCUGAGAAACAGCUACCACAUCCAAGGAAGGCAGCAGGCGCGCAAAUUACCCACUCUCAAAACGAGGAGGUAGUGACAAAAAAUAACGAUGCGGGACUCAAUCGAGGCCCCGUAAUCGGAAUGAGUACAAUUUAAAUCCUUUAACGAGGAUCAAUUGGAGGGCAAGUCUGGUGCCAGCAGCCGCGGUAAUUCCAGCUCCAAUAGCGUAUAUUAAAGUUGUUGCAGUUAAAAAGCUCGUAGUUGGAUCUAAGGAUUUGAACUAACGGUUUGCCUUAUGGUGAUACUGUUGGAUCUGCCUAAAAAUGUCGUGGAGGCUAUUAGUGUUCUUAAUUGAGUGCUUUUAGUGCCCGACGCUAUUACUUUGAGAAAAUUAGAGUGCUUAAAGCAGGCAUAAUGCUUGUAUACUGUUGCAUGGAAUAAUAAAAUAUGAGUUUGCUUUUAUUUGUUGGUAUUCGGAAGUGAACUAAUGAUUGACGGGGACAGUCAGGGGCAUUUGUAUGGAGGGGCUAGAGGUGAAAUUCUGUGACCCUCUCCAGACAAUCUACUGCGAAAGCAUUUGCCAGGAAUGUUUUCAUUAAUCAAGAACGAAAGUCAGAGGUUCGAAGACGAUCAGAUACCGUCCUAGUUCUGACCAUAAAUGAUGCCAUCUAGCAAUUCCCGGAGUUUGCUAGUACGAACUUGGGAGCGGCCCCCGGGAAACCAAAGACUUUGGGUUCCGGGGGAAGUAUGGUUGCAAAGCUGAAACUUAAAGGAAUUGACGGAAGGGCACCACCAGGAGUGGAGCCUGCGGCUUAAUUUGACUCAACACGGGAAACCUCACCCGGCCCGGACACUGUUAUGAUUGACAGAUUAACAGCUCUUUCUUGAUUUAGUGGUUGGUGGUGCAUGGCCGUUCUUAGUUGGUGGAGUGAUUUGUCUGGUUAAUUCCGAUAACGAACGAGACUCUAACCUGCUAAAUAGUAUGUUUAUAUUAUAAAGUGAACAAUGACUUCUUAGAGGGACUAAUGGCGUUUAGUCAUGUGAGAAAGAGCAAUAACAGGUCUGUGAUGCCCUUAGAUGUUCGGGGCCGCACGCGCGCUACACUAACUGAAGCAACGGGUAUCAUCCUGGUUAGAAAUGACUGGGUAACCCGCUUAAAUCUCAGUUGUGACUGGGAUCGAGGUUUGCAAUUAUCUCUCGUGAACGAGGAAUUCCGAGUAAGCGCAAGUCAUUAGCUUGCGCUGAUUACGUCCCUGCCCUUUGUACACACCGCCCGUCGCUACUACCGAUUGAACGGUUUAGUGAGAAUUUUGGAUUGGCUUCGUUGAGGCGGCCCUUCACGGGGCUGCUUCGGCUGGGCUGAGAAGAUGUUCAAACUUGAUCGUUUAGAGGAAGUAAAAGUCGAAACAAGA